RNAcentral lists this transfer RNA (64 nucleotides) under Pseudoxenodon stejnegeri (Stejneger's bamboo snake). RNAcentral's name for it is "tRNA-Val". Lineage: Eukaryota; Metazoa; Chordata; Lepidosauria; Squamata; Pseudoxenodontidae. The record is from RNAcentral.
CAAAAAGUAGCUUAUGUAAAGCAUUCGACCUACACUCGAACGAUAUUAAUACUAAUCUUUUUGA